GAUCCUGGCUCAGGAUGAGCGCUAGCGGGAGGCCUAACACAUGCAAGCUGAGCGGUAUUUGUCUUUCGGGACAGAGAGAGCGGCGUACGGGUGCGUAACACGUGUGCAACCUGCCUUUAUCGGGAGGAUAGCCUUUCGAAAGGAAGAUUAAUACUCCAUAAUAUAUUAAUUGGCAUCAAUUGAUAUUGAAAACUCCGGUGGAUAAAGAUGGGCACGCGCAAGAUUAGAUAGUUGGUGAGGUAACGGCUCACCAAGUCGAUGAUCUUUAGGGGGCCUGAGAGGGUGAUCCCCCACACUGGUACUGAGACACGGACCAGACUCCUACGGGAGGCAGCAGUGAGGAAUAUUGGACAAUGGGUUAGCGCCUGAUCCAGCCAUCCCGCGUGAAGGAUUAAGGACCUAUGGUUUGUAAACUUCUUUUGUACAGGGAUAAACCUACCCUCGUGAGGGUAGCUGAAGGUACUGUACGAAUAAGCACCGGCUAACUCCGUG
RNAcentral lists this ribosomal RNA (492 nucleotides) under uncultured bacterium. RNAcentral describes it as "bacterial SSU rRNA". It matches the Rfam family "Bacterial small subunit ribosomal RNA", at positions 15 to 507 of the family's 1533-position model. The record is from RNAcentral.